Molecule: ribosomal RNA, 1275 nt
Filed under: Staphylococcus aureus
Lineage: Bacteria; Bacillati; Bacillota; Bacilli; Caryophanales; Staphylococcaceae
Description: partial 23S ribosomal RNA
Rfam family: Bacterial large subunit ribosomal RNA
Source: RNAcentral
UCGAUUCCCUUAGUAGCGGCGAGCGAAACGGGAAGAGCCCAAACCAACAAGCUUGCUUGUUGGGGUUGUAGGACACUCUAUACGGAGUUACAAAGGACGACAUUAGACGAAUCAUCUGGAAAGAUGAAUCAAAGAAGGUAAUAAUCCUGUAGUCGAAAAUGUUGUCUCUCUUGAGUGGAUCCUGAGUACGACGGAGCACGUGAAAUUCCGUCGGAAUCUGGGAGGACCAUCUCCUAAGGCUAAAUACUCUCUAGUGACCGAUAGUGAACCAGUACCGUGAGGGAAAGGUGAAAAGCACCCCGGAAGGGGAGUGAAAUAGAACCUGAAACCGUGUGCUUACAAGUAGUCAGAGCCCGUUAAUGGGUGAUGGCGUGCCUUUUGUAGAAUGAACCGGCGAGUUACGAUUUGAUGCAAGGUUAAGCAGUAAAUGUGGAGCCGUAGCGAAAGCGAGUCUGAAUAGGGCGUUUAGUAUUUGGUCGUAGACCCGAAACCAGGUGAUCUACCCUUGGUCAGGUUGAAGUUCAGGUAACACUGAAUGGAGGACCGAACCGACUUACGUUGAAAAGUGAGCGGAUGAACUGAGGGUAGCGGAGAAAUUCCAAUCGAACCUGGAGAUAGCUGGUUCUCUCCGAAAUAGCUUUAGGGCUAGCCUCAAGUGAUGAUUAUUGGAGGUAGAGCACUGUUUGGACGAGGGGCCCCUCUCGGGUUACCGAAUUCAGACAAACUCCGAAUGCCAAUUAAUUUAACUUGGGAGUCAGAACAUGGGUGAUAAGGUCCGUGUUCGAAAGGGAAACAGCCCAGACCACCAGCUAAGGUCCCAAAAUAUAUGUUAAGUGGAAAAGGAUGUGGCGUUGCCCAGACAACUAGGAUGUUGGCUUAGAAGCAGCCAUCAUUUAAAGAGUGCGUAAUAGCUCACUAGUCGAGUGACACUGCGCCGAAAAUGUACCGGGGCUAAACAUAUUACCGAAGCUGUGGAUUGUCCUUUGGACAAUGGUAGGAGAGCGUUCUAAGGGCGUUGAAGCAUGAUCGUAAGGACAUGUGGAGCGCUUAGAAGUGAGAAUGCCGGUGUGAGUAGCGAAAGACGGGUGAGAAUCCCGUCCACCGAUUGACUAAGGUUUCCAGAGGAAGGCUCGUCCGCUCUGGGUUAGUCGGGUCCUAAGCUGAGGCCGACAGGCGUAGGCGAUGGAUAACAGGUUGAUAUUCCUGUACCACCUAUAAUCGUUUUAAUCGAUGGGGGGACGCAGUAGGAUAGGCGAAGCGUGCGAUUGGAUUGCA